AGGGUUGAACAUGAACAUGGUGGUUCCAUUUCCCCCUUUUUCUAUUUCCAUCUUCCUCUCCCAGACUUCCCCUCCUUCUCGAGCCGCCGAUAUCACCGGUCCACCAGACCUGCGACCGCAACCAUUCGCUUCUUACCUUCACCAUUACACCGUAGUUCUUAACGGAAACUGAUAUGGCAAUGCACUGCAUCAAGUCUUUGAGAAAUGUUGGUGUCGCUAACAUGGGGUUAGGAUUAGGAUUAGGAUUAGGAAGCUGUAGAACAUUUGCUGUUGGAGGUAAAGCGAAAAAGGGUAAAAGUGGAGGGGCUUCUGAUGCUCCAAAGCAGUCGAGUUUAAGCAAAGAAGUGAAAUCUACAACAGUUGUAGGGGCAAAUAUCCUCAAGGAGGGGACUGACCCUAAAAUACUUGCAGAUUCUGAGUAUCCAGAGUGGCUGUGGCACCUUCUGGACAAAAAACCUGCACUCAGUGAGCUUAGAAGGAAAAAUAUUGAAACUCUUCCAUAUGAAGACCUCAAACGCUUUGUGAAGCUUGAUAACAGAUCAAGAAUCAAAGAAAACAACACCACCAGGGCCAAAAACUAAAACUCAUUUCAAUGUAUACCCUACCCUUCCUGUCCUUCCAGGCUUAGGUUUCUUCUUUGGGUGUUAUCCAUAUGAUAUGAUUAUUGCAUAUCAUAAUAUAAACUUGGCACUUGUUUCUUUUUUAGCCUGUCCUGUCUUUUGUCUGUUGUUCAUCUGAAUGUUUUUACCCAAUCAGGCUAAUUCAUAUCAGUCAAAGGCGUGGAAAAAAGAAAAAUGAUAGCGCGACUUCAAAUUGAUGAAUCUGGGAACAAUCUCACCUUAAUCAUAAUGAAGUGCAAACCCGCCUUGAGUUGCGUUUUUGGGACUGUUUUACCUUUUUUUAAAUGGUAUAAUUUUAAAAAAUAAAAAUAAAAAAAAUAAGUUCAUGGAUCAUGACACUUGUAUGUUUUGUUACCUGAAAAUUGCUUUAAUUCUUCUUUUAAUAUGUAACAGAGGUUUGAACACUUAUAUGUAAAAUUUGAUGUUGAUGUAAUGACUAGUUCUGUUAUCUUGUUAA
Molecule: RNA transcript, 1077 nt
Organism: Lactuca sativa (garden lettuce)
Lineage: Eukaryota; Viridiplantae; Streptophyta; Magnoliopsida; Asterales; Asteraceae
Source: RefSeq, a predicted model, not a curated record